GGGUUUAAUUUAGGGUCUUGAAAUGAAGGGCUUCUCCUUUCCUUCACUCUCUGCUCCCACUCUCACCAUUCCCUUGCCAACAAGUUCUUCCUAUUCAUGAAAGUGAUUUCGUUGUUGGCUUAAUCGGGAAAAGUCGUGUUGCGCAGAAGGUGACGCUUUCGACACCAAAAUUGUGAUGGUGCAAAAGGCCCUCAAAGGCUAAACGCUUUGCCAUCAGACUUGACAAGAUUGGUUCAGAGGAGCUAGGGUUUAUAUCUCGCUGAAGCAGCAGUAACGAUUGCUAGGCAUGGUCGGUCUCCUCCCCUCAGUUAAAGAGAGCUUCACCAUCCCCAAGCUGCCACAGAAUCGUUUAUAAGCUUUUUUCCAAAAGUGAAGGCAAUGGCAUGCACAAGACAACUGUGGAGUGGGCUCGUUAAUAAUGCAUGAUCCAUUUCUUCAUAAUGAUUCAUUGGUUACCUUCAUCUAGGUGUAGCCACGGCCAAGGCAGGGAUGCCUUUUUAUUUGGAAAAUGCAUCUAAUAAAAGUUAAGCGCAUACACUAAUUUAUAAAACUUUUUCCUUCGAUUUGUGUUACAUGUUUUAUAUCUAUUUCAACCCAUUUUCAUUAGCUUUGCCAUUUUUGAAGGGGAAGUCACACAUAAUUCUGAACUUUUUUUGUUAUAUAGGUUGAGGAGAUGAUUCAUACAUUCAAACAGAGAAUAGCCCAAGCAAAAGCUAUGGCUCGUGGUGACGUGCUUAGUUCCAGCCUGAGGUAUCUAUGGAUUCUUCAAAAUUCUAAAACUGGUAAAAAGGGCGAAACACGGUGAAUUUUGAGCAAGGUGUUGGCAUUUGGAGAAAGUAUUGUUACUUGAAGAAGUUAAGCCGCAAAUUUCUAGAACUCAUGUUACAUUGGUUGAGAAUAUCUUAUUAGCCCCAAAGGAAGGCACCGAAUGUUGGUAGCGGUGUGCCAUCUCCAUACUAUAUACUAAGUUCAAGUGGUGGAAGCAAAACAACUUAGAAUUAGCCGUGCAAGUUUUAUAAUUGUCUUAUGAAAUUUUA
Molecule: long non-coding RNA, 1037 nt
Organism: Vigna unguiculata (cowpea)
Lineage: Eukaryota; Viridiplantae; Streptophyta; Magnoliopsida; Fabales; Fabaceae
Source: RefSeq, a predicted model, not a curated record